AUGGGCCAUGUAGCUGCUGUCCGCUUGUUGCUACGGUUUCACCCUGCUUGCGCAGACAUUCGUGAUAACCAUUUCAGGACCUUCUUGCAUGCAACGGCUAUGAAAGGGCAGUCUUCAAUCGUGUCCUAUGUUAUAAAGGACAUGAUGCUGGAACAUCUUUUGAACACAAAAGACAACGAAGGAAAUACGCCGCUCCAUUUGACCGUGAUCGCGCGGGAGCACCGAGCUAUCUACAAGCUGCUGUCAAGAGGAAAAGUGCAUGCCCACAUUAUGAACGAUGCUGGUUGUACCCCUUCUGAUCUCAUCGAGAAUUCGACGGGUUUCUACUCAAUGGCAAGACUGGUGGUGGAAUUGUAUGUGAUGGGAGCACGGUUUAGGCCACAGAGGAGGCCUUACAUAGAGAAGUGGAAUGGUCAAGACAUAAUGAAAUGGCGAGAGACUACAUCUAAAAAUCUUGCAGUUGUUUCCACCCUCGUGGCCACUGUCGCUUUCUCGGCCGCGUUCAAUGUGCCUGGAUCAUAUGGAUCAAGUGGAAAGGCAAAUCUGAGUGGGCACCGUCGGUAG
Molecule: ribosomal RNA, 564 nt
Filed under: Triticum aestivum (bread wheat)
Lineage: Eukaryota; Viridiplantae; Streptophyta; Magnoliopsida; Poales; Poaceae
Description: partial small subunit ribosomal RNA
Source: RNAcentral